RNAcentral lists this ribosomal RNA (251 nucleotides) under uncultured prokaryote. Its description in RNAcentral is "partial 16S ribosomal RNA". It matches the Rfam family "Bacterial small subunit ribosomal RNA", at positions 524 to 774 of the family's 1533-position model. The record is from RNAcentral.
UACGUAGGGGGCUAGCGUUGUCCGGAUUUAUUGGGCGUAAAGCGCGUGUAGGCGGCCAGAUAGGUCUGCUGUGAAAACUCGAGGCUCAACCUCGAGCUGUCGGCGGAAACCAUCCGGCUAGAGUCCGGAAGAGGAGAGUGGAAUUCCUGGUGUAGCGGUGAAAUGCGCAGAUAUCAGGAAGAACACCCGUGGCGAAGGCGGCUCUCUGGGACGGUACUGACGCUGAGACGCGAAAGCGUGGGGAGCGAACA